UUGGAGGGCAAGUCUGGUGCCAGCAGCCGCGGUAAUUCCAGCUCCAAUAGCGUAUAUUAAAGUUGUUGCAGUUAAAAAGCUCGUAGUUGAAUUUCGGGGUUCUACCGUUGGUCGGGCUUUGUCUGUACUGGUGUGUAGAAUUUCUACCUUCUGGGGAACCAUCAUGCUAUUAAUUUAGCGUGGUGGGAAACCAGGACCUUUACCUUGAAAAAAUUAGUGUGUUCAAAGCAGGCUUAUGUCUGAAUACAUUAGCGUGGAACAAUAGAAUAGGACGGUGGUCCUGUUUUGUUGGUUUCUGAAUCACCGUAAUGAUUAAUAGGGAUAGUUGGGGGCAUUAGUAUUCAAUUGUCAGAGGUGAAAUUCUUGGAUUUAUUGAAGACUAACUUCUGCGAAAGCAUUUGCCAAGGAUGUUUUCAUUAAUCAAGAACGAAAGUUAGGGGAUCGAAGACGAUCAGAUACCGUCGUAGUCUUAACCAUAAACUAUGCCGACUAGGGAUCGGACGAUGUUAAUUUUUCUUGACUCGUUCGGCGCCUUACGGGAAAC
Molecule: ribosomal RNA, 544 nt
Filed under: uncultured Glomeromycotina
Lineage: Eukaryota; Fungi; Glomeromycota
Description: SSU rRNA
Rfam family: Eukaryotic small subunit ribosomal RNA
Source: RNAcentral